This 429-nucleotide ribosomal RNA is filed under the name Chloroflexota bacterium. RNAcentral describes it as "Chloroflexi bacterium partial 16S ribosomal RNA". It matches the Rfam family "Bacterial small subunit ribosomal RNA", at positions 355 to 776 of the family's 1533-position model. Lineage: Bacteria; Bacillati; Chloroflexota. The record is from RNAcentral.
UGGGGAAUAUUGCACAAUGGGCGCAAGCCUGAUGCAGCCAUGCCGCGUGUAUGAAGAAGGCCUUCGGGUUGUAAAGUACUUUUAGCGGGGAGGAAGGGAGUAAAGUUAAUACCUUUGCUCAUUGACGUUACCCGCAGAAGAAGCACCGGCUAACUCCGUGCCAGCAGCCGCGGUAAUACGGAGGGUGCAAGCGUUAAUCGGAAUUACUGGGCGUAAAGCGCACGCAGGCGGUUUGUCAAGUCGGAUGUGAAAUCCCCGGGCUCAACCUGGGAACUGCAUUCGAAACUGGCAGGCUAGAGUCUUGUAGAGGGGGGUAGAAUUCCAGGUGUAGCGGUGAAAUGCGUAGAGAUCUGGAGGAAUACCGGUGGCGAAGGCGGCCCCCUGGACAAAGACUGACGCUCAGGUGCGAAAGCGUGGGGAGCAAACAGG